Molecule: ribosomal RNA, 253 nt
Filed under: uncultured bacterium
Lineage: Bacteria
Description: partial 16S ribosomal RNA
Rfam family: Bacterial small subunit ribosomal RNA
Source: RNAcentral
UACGAAGGGGGCUAGCGUUGCUCGGAAUCACUGGGCGUAAAGGGCGCGUAGGCGGUUUUUUAAGUCGGGGGUGAAAGCCUGUGGCUCAACCACAGAAUGGCCUUCGAUACUGGAAGACUUGAGACCGGAAGAGGACAGCGGAACUGCGAGUGUAGAGGUGAAAUUCGUAGAUAUUCGCAAGAACACCAGUGGCGAAGGCGGCUGUCUGGUCCGGUUCUGACGCUGAGGCGCGAAAGCGUGGGGAGCAAACAGG